CUUGGUGGUUCUUGCGAUGGGGGUACACCUGUUCUCAUCCCGAACACAGCAGUUAAGUCCAUUGGCGCCGAUGAUAGUCGAAAGGCAAAAGUAGGUAGCCGCCAAGA
RNAcentral lists this ribosomal RNA (107 nucleotides) under Candidatus Magasanikiibacteriota bacterium. The record is from RNAcentral. Lineage: Bacteria; Candidatus Magasanikiibacteriota.